This 392-nucleotide ribosomal RNA is filed under the name uncultured bacterium. RNAcentral's name for it is "bacterial SSU rRNA". It matches the Rfam family "Bacterial small subunit ribosomal RNA", at positions 29 to 420 of the family's 1533-position model. The record is from RNAcentral.
AUUGAACGCUGGCGGCGUGCUUAACACAUGCAAGUCGAUCGGUAACAGGUGUAGCAAUACAUGCUGACGAGAGGCGGACGGGUGAGUAAUGCUUGGGAAUCUGCCUAUUAGUGGGGGACAACCCGGGGAAACUCGGGCUAAUACCGCAUACGCUCUACGGAGGAAAGCCGGGGACCGCAAGGCCUGGCGCUAAUAGAUGAGCCCAAGUCGGAUUAGCUAGUUGGUAGGGUAACGGCCUACCAAGGCGACAAUCCGUAGCUGGUCUGAGAGGACGACCAGCCACACCGGAACUGAGACACGGCCCAGACUCCUACGGGAGGCAGCAGUGGGGAAUCUUGCGCAAUGGGCGAAAGCCUGACGCAGCGACGCCGCGUGAGGGAUGACGGCCUCGG